Molecule: ribosomal RNA, 829 nt
Filed under: uncultured organism
Description: bacterial SSU rRNA
Rfam family: Bacterial small subunit ribosomal RNA
Source: RNAcentral
GUGCCAGCAGCCGCGGUAAUACGGAGGAUGCAAGCGUUAUCCGGAUUCAUUGGGUUUAAAGGGUGCGCAGGCUGUAAAGCAAGUCAGUGGUGAAAGCCCUGGGCUUAACUCAGGGAUUGCCAUUGAAACUGUUUUACUAGAGUGUAGUAGAGGACGGCGGAAUGAGUUGUGUAGCGGUGAAAUGCAUAGAUAUAACUCAGAACACCUAUUGCGUAGGCAGCUGUCUAUACUACAACUGACGCUGAGGCACGAAAGCGUGGGGAGCGAACAGGAUUAGAUACCCUGGUAGUCCACGCUGUAAACGAUGAUCACUCGUUGUUGGCUACUUAGUAGUCAGUGACCAAGGGAAACCGAUAAGUGAUCCACCUGGGGAGUACGUCGGCAACGAUGAAACUCAAAGGAAUUGACGGGGGCCCGCACAAGCGGAGGAACAUGUGGUUUAAUUCGAUGAUACGCGAGGAACCUUACCUGGGCUUAAAUGCUGGCUGCAUUGGAGGGAAACCUUCAUUUCCUACGGGACCGCCAGCAAGGUGCUGCAUGGUUGUCGUCAGCUCGUGCCGUGAGGUGUCGGGUUAAGUCCCAUAACGAGCGCAACCCCUAUCGCUAGUUGCCAGCAUGUAAUGGUGGGGACUCUAGCGAGACUGCCGGUGUAAACCGGAGGAAGGUGGGGAUGACGUCAAAUCAGCACGGCCCUUACGUCCAGGGCUACACACGUGUUACAAUGGCCGGUACAAAGAGCAGCCACCUGGCGACAGGGCGCUAAUCUCUAAAACCGGUCUCAGUUCGGAUCGAAGUCUGCAAUUCGACUUCGUGAAGGUGGAUUCGCUAG